RNAcentral lists this ribosomal RNA (488 nucleotides) under Priestia megaterium. RNAcentral's name for it is "bacterial SSU rRNA". It matches the Rfam family "Bacterial small subunit ribosomal RNA", at positions 27 to 496 of the family's 1533-position model. Lineage: Bacteria; Bacillati; Bacillota; Bacilli; Caryophanales; Bacillaceae. The record is from RNAcentral.
GGAUGAACGCUGGCGGCGUGCCUAAUACAUGCAAGUCGAGCGAACUGAUUAGAAGCUUGCUUCUAUGACGUUAGCGGCGGACGGGUGAGUAACACGUGGGCAACCUGCCUGUAAGACUGGGAUAACUUCGGGAAACCGAAGCUAAUACCGGAUAGGAUCUUCUCCUUCAUGGGAGAUGAUUGAAAGAUGGUUUCGGCUAUCACUUACAGAUGGGCCCGCGGUGCAUUAGCUAGUUGGUGAGGUAACGGCUCACCAAGGCAACGAUGCAUAGCCGACCUGAGAGGGUGAUCGGCCACACUGGGACUGAGACACGGCCCAGACUCCUACGGGAGGCAGCAGUAGGGAAUCUUCCGCAAUGGACGAAAGUCUGACGGAGCAACGCCGCGUGAGUGAUGAAGGCUUUCGGGUCGUAAAACUCUGUUGUUAGGGAAGAACAAGUACRAGAGUAACUGCUYGUACCUUGACGGUACCUAACCAGAAAGCCACGG